GAUGGUAUUAUCAAUCAAUAUUGAUAGAAGGCAUUUAAAAAUGAAACAUUUUGGAGUUAUGCUGUGGUGUAGUGGAUUAAGAAUCCGACUGCAGUGGCUGAGGUUGCUGUGCAGGUGUGAGUUCAAUCCCUAGCCUGGCACAGUGGUUUAAAGGAUCUGGUGUUGGCUGCAGCUGUGGAGUAGGUUGCACCUGUGGCUCAGAUUCAGUUCCUGGCCUGGGAAUGCCAUGGAUGCAGCCAUUAAAAAGAAAAAGUUAUUAAAAGUAUGAAGAAAUUUCCACAGAUGGUAGAAAAAUUAUGAGGCAACUAGAGAAAAUACUGUAAUUUCCACCUAAGUAAUUUCUAAUAAACUUCAAAAGAAAACAUAUCAAGGAUACCCACAUUUACUAAUGGUGAAUAACUGAUGGUUAAUACAGAAAAGUCUGGUGUCAUUAAGAAUGUGGGGAGGCUAGAGCUCUGAAUGAGUUAAAGUUUGCAAAAAGUGCUGGGAUUUCCUGUCAUGGUGCAGUGGAAACAAAUCUGACUAGGAACUGUGAGGUUGCGGGUUUGAUCCCUGGCCUUGCACAGUGGGUUGAGGAUCCAGUGUUGCUGUGAGCUGUGGUGUAGGUUGCAGACUUGGCUUGGAUCUGGCAUUGCUGUGGCUCUGCUGGCCUACACCAGAGCCACAGCAACGCAGGAUCCGAGCCUCAUCUGCAACCUACACCACAGCUCAUGGCAAUGCCAGAUCCUUAACCCACUGAGCAGGGCCAGGGAUCGAACCCGCAACCUAAUGGUUCCUAGUCGGAUUCGUUAACCACUGUGCCACGACAGGAACUCUGAACUUUUACAUUUUAAUAUUCUGUUAAUAAAUAUAGCAAGUUUCAUAUAGAUUAGGAAUAUUUUGGGCAGUUCCCGUCAUGGCUCAGCAGAAACAAAUCCUCCUAGUAUCUCUGAGGAUGCAGGUUCAAUCCCUGACCCUGCUCAGUGUAUUAAGGAUUUGGCGAUGCCAUGAACUGUGGUGUAGGUUGUAGAUGUGGCUUGGAUCCCACGUUGCUGUGGCUGUGGCGUAGGCCAGUCUGAUUGGAUCCCUAGGCUGGGAACUUCCAUAUUCUGCAGGUGUGCCCCUCCCACAAAAAAAGAGUAUUUUAAUUUUUCUGGGUUGGGUGAGGGAUGACACUGAUUACUACUAAUACAUAGUAAUCAAAGUUGAACAGAUUAAAUCUCCCUUUAAAAACCCUUUCCAGGUAAAAUGGCUCUAGUACUUUUUGUACUUUUGUUUUCUUUUAAUACUCAUAUAUUAACAUGACUUGCUCUCUCGCUUUUUGGGUUCAAAUGUCAGCUAGUGUGGAGACAUUUUCCCUGAUGAGUUUUCAAGGGACAUCAGUUACAUAGACUUCACUGUGAAUGAUGCUUACUGGUGUGACUCUCAUUAUACCAUCUAAAAUACCACCUUUUCUUUUCGCUUUCCCGUGUUUUAUUUUUCUUCGCAAUAAUUAUCAUACCUGUCUCUUGUUAAAAUAUAAGAUUCAACGAGGUUGAAAUUAUGUUUUGUUCACUGAUUUAAUUCUUAGCUUGAAAAAGGCCUAGUUCAUGGUAGAUUCUCAGUGAUUAUUUGUUGAAUUAAUGAGUUUAUACUGUGAAGUUCUUGGAACAGUGUUGGGCACUAGGACAGUGCUCUUUGAAUGUUAGCUGUUAGUAGUACUACUACUGCUACUUAAUUACAUUCCUUAUAUUUAUACAUUAAUUAUCCUGGAUUUUAUUUUUUAGUAUUUUAUAUGCAUUAUGGAGUGAAUGUAAAUUUUAAACAAGCUGUACUUUCCCAGAUACUUAAAACUGUUUUAAAAAUUAGUAAAUAGGGAGUUCCCAUUGUGGCUCAGCAAGUUACGAACCUGACUAGUAUCCAUGAGGAUGUGGUUUCAAUCCCCCCACUCAGUGGGUUAAGGAUGUUGCUGUGAGCUGCGGUGUAGGUCAUGGACGUAGCCUGGAUCCCACAUUUCUGUGGCUGUGGCAUAGGUUGGCAGCUGCAGCUUGGAUUCAAUCCCUGGCUUGGGAACUUCUGUAUGCCACAGGUGUGGCCCUAAAAAGCAAAGAAGCAAAAAAAGAAAAAAAGAAAAAA
This 2094-nucleotide long non-coding RNA is filed under the name Sus scrofa (pig). RNAcentral describes it as "lncRNA (ENSSSCG00030016394.1)". The record is from RNAcentral. Lineage: Eukaryota; Metazoa; Chordata; Mammalia; Artiodactyla; Suidae.